This 229-nucleotide unclassified non-coding RNA is filed under the name plant metagenome. Its description in RNAcentral is "partial contains small subunit ribosomal RNA, internal transcribed spacer 1, and 5.8S ribosomal RNA". The record is from RNAcentral.
UCUCCGUAGGUGAACCUGCGGAGGGAUCAUUACAGAGUUCUCGCCCUCGCGGGUAGAUCUCCCACCCACUGUUAUCGUUACUGUGUUGCUUUGGCGGGCCGCCGGGCCCCGCUCGGCCGCCGGCUCCGGCUGGCGCGCGCCCGCCAGAGGCCCAGCGAACUCUGAAUGUUAGUGUCGUCUGAGUACUAUAUAAUAGUUAAAACUUUCGACAACGGAUCUCUUGGUUCUG